RNAcentral lists this ribosomal RNA (2784 nucleotides) under Escherichia coli. RNAcentral's name for it is "23S ribosomal RNA". It matches the Rfam family "Bacterial large subunit ribosomal RNA". Lineage: Bacteria; Pseudomonadati; Pseudomonadota; Gammaproteobacteria; Enterobacterales; Enterobacteriaceae. The record is from RNAcentral.
GGGUUGUGAGGUUAAGCGACUAAGCGUACACGGUGGAUGCCCUGGCAGUCAGAGGCGAUGAAGGACGUGCUAAUCUGCGAUAAGCGUCGGUGAGGUGAUAUGAACCGUUAUAACCGGCGAUUUCCGAAUGGGGAAACCCAGUGUGUUUCGACACACUAUCAUUAACUGAAUCCAUAGGUUAAUGAGGCGAACCGGGGGAACUGAAACAUCUAAGUACCCCGAGGAAAAGAAAUCAACCGAGAUUCCCCCAGUAGCGGCGAGCGAACGGGGAGGAGCCCAGAGCCUGAAUCAGUGUGUGUGUUAGUGGAAGCGUCUGGAAAGGCGUGCGAUACAGGGUGACAGCCCCGUACACAAAAAUGCACAUAUUGUGAGCUCGAUGAGUAGGGCGGGACACGUGGUAUCCUGUCUGAAUAUGGGGGGACCAUCCUCCAAGGCUAAAUACUCCUGACUGACCGAUAGUGAACCAGUACCGUGAGGGAAAGGCGAAAAGAACCCCGGCGAGGGGAGUGAAAAAGAACCUGAAACCGUGUACGUACAAGCAGUGGGAGCCUCUUAAUGGGGUGACUGCGUACCUUUUGUAUAAUGGGUCAGCGACUUAUAUUCUGUAGCAAGGUUAACCGAAUAGGGGAGCCGAAGGGAAACCGAGUCUUAACUGGGCGUUAAGUUGCAGGGUAUAGACCCGAAACCCGGUGAUCUAGCCAUGGGCAGGUUGAAGGUUGGGUAACACUAACUGGAGGACCGAACCGACUAAUGUUGAAAAAUUAGCGGAUGACUUGUGGCUGGGGGUGAAAGGCCAAUCAAACCGGGAGAUAGCUGGUUCUCCCCGAAAGCUAUUUAGGUAGCGCCUCGUGAAUUCAUCUCCGGGGGUAGAGCACUGUUUCGGCAAGGGGGUCAUCCCGACUUACCAACCCGAUGCAAACUGCGAAUACCGGAGAAUGUUAUCACGGGAGACACACGGCGGGUGCUAACGUCCGUCGUGAAGAGGGAAACAACCCAGACCGCCAGCUAAGGUCCCAAAGUCAUGGUUAAGUGGGAAACGAUGUGGGAAGGCCCAGACAGCCAGGAUGUUGGCUUAGAAGCAGCCAUCAUUUAAAGAAAGCGUAAUAGCUCACUGGUCGAGUCGGCCUGCGCGGAAGAUGUAACGGGGCUAAACCAUGCACCGAAGCUGCGGCAGCGACACUAUGUGUUGUUGGGUAGGGGAGCGUUCUGUAAGCCUGUGAAGGUGGCCUGUGAGGGUUGCUGGAGGUAUCAGAAGUGCGAAUGCUGACAUAAGUAACGAUAAAGCGGGUGAAAAGCCCGCUCGCCGGAAGACCAAGGGUUCCUGUCCAACGUUAAUCGGGGCAGGGUGAGUCGACCCCUAAGGCGAGGCCGAAAGGCGUAGUCGAUGGGAAACAGGUUAAUAUUCCUGUACUUGGUGUUACUGCGAAGGGGGGACGGAGAAGGCUAUGUUGGCCGGGCGACGGUUGUCCCGGUUUAAGCGUGUAGGCUGGUUUUCCAGGCAAAUCCGGAAAACCAAGGCUGAGGCGUGAUGACGAGGCACUACGGUGCUGAAGCGACAAAUGCCCUGCUUCCAGGAAAAGCCUCUAAGCAUCAGGUAACAUCAAAUCGUACCCCAAACCGACACAGGUGGUCAGGUAGAGAAUACCAAGGCGCUUGAGAGAACUCGGGUGAAGGAACUAGGCAAAAUGGUGCCGUAACUUCGGGAGAAGGCAUGCUGAUAUGUAGGUGAAGCGACUUGCUCGUGGAGCUGAAAUCAGUCGAAGAUACCAGCUGGCUGCAACUGUUUAUUAAAAACACAGCACUGUGCAAACACGAAAGUGGACGUAUACGGUGUGACGCCUGCCCGGUGCCGGAAGGUUAAUUGAUGGGGUUAGCGGUAACGCGAAGCUCUUGAUCGAAGCCCCGGUAAACGGCGGCCGUAACUAUAACGGUCCUAAGGUAGCGAAAUUCCUUGUCGGGUAAGUUCCGACCUGCACGAAUGGCGUAAUGAUGGCCAGGCUGUCUCCACCCGAGACUCAGUGAAAUUGAACUCGCUGUGAAGAUGCAGUGUACCCGCGGCAAGACGGAAAGACCCCGUGAACCUUUACUAUAGCUUGACACUGAACAUUGAGCCUUGAUGUGUAGGAUAGGUGGGAGGCUUUGAAGUGUGGACGCCAGUCUGCAUGGAGCCGACCUUGAAAUACCACCCUUUAAUGUUUGAUGUUCUAACGUUGGCCCGUAAUCCGGGUUGCGGACAGUGUCUGGUGGGUAGUUUGACUGGGGCGGUCUCCUCCUAAAGAGUAACGGAGGAGCACGAAGGUUGGCUAAUCCUGGUCGGACAUCAGGAGGUUAGUGCAAUGGCAUAAGCCAGCUUGACUGCGAGCGUGACGGCGCGAGCAGGUGCGAAAGCAGGUCAUAGUGAUCCGGUGGUUCUGAAUGGAAGGGCCAUCGCUCAACGGAUAAAAGGUACUCCGGGGAUAACAGGCUGAUACCGCCCAAGAGUUCAUAUCGACGGCGGUGUUUGGCACCUCGAUGUCGGCUCAUCACAUCCUGGGGCUGAAGUAGGUCCCAAGGGUAUGGCUGUUCGCCAUUUAAAGUGGUACGCGAGCUGGGUUUAGAACGUCGUGAGACAGUUCGGUCCCUAUCUGCCGUGGGCGCUGGAGAACUGAGGGGGGCUGCUCCUAGUACGAGAGGACCGGAGUGGACGCAUCACUGGUGUUCGGGUUGUCAUGCCAAUGGCACUGCCCGGUAGCUAAAUGCGGAAGAGAUAAGUGCUGAAAGCAUCUAAGCACGAAACUGUCUCCC